Molecule: long non-coding RNA, 458 nt
Filed under: Physcomitrium patens
Lineage: Eukaryota; Viridiplantae; Streptophyta; Bryopsida; Funariales; Funariaceae
Description: long non-coding RNA (PPAT_LNC010006)
Source: RNAcentral
AGGGUUUGGUUGAGAUUUGGUUUAGGAUUCAGGGUUUGAUUAAGGUUUGGUUUAGGUUUAGAGGUUGGUUAGGAUUUGAUUUAGGAUUUGGUUAGGGUUUGAUUUAGGAUUUGGUUAGGAUUUGAUUUAGGAUUUGGUUAGGAUUUGAUUUAGGAUUUAGAGUUUGAUUAGGGUUUCAUUUAGAAUUUAGGAUUUGAUUAGGAUUUGGUUUAGGAUUUAGGAUUUGAUUUAGGAUUUAGGAUUUUAUUAGGAUUUAUUUAGGAUUUAAGAUUUAAUUAAUUUUAGCCUAAAGUUUGAAUGAAGUCCAAUAGGAUUUUAACUAGAAUUAAAUUAAGAUUGAAUUGUGAUGUAUUUGAGAUAUAUUUGUAAUCAUUCUAAUAUUUCUUUAAGAUUUUUUAUUAUUUCUUUGAAAUUUCUUUGAGAUUUUUUUGAAUUUGAUUAAAGCUUGCUUAGCAUUA